CCAAAGGGCAAGGAGCUGUUACUGUAUUCUUUAUCCACAGAACAAGCCUAGCAUGGGCAGCAACAGUGCAAGCUUUCCUCACUCUACUCUUGCCAAUAUGCUUCAACCCUGACCUGGAGGGACCCCUUGAAAAGCAGCAGGAAAAGGAGGUCCAUCUCCAUUCAUGCCUUGGCUUUU
This 177-nucleotide small RNA is filed under the name Crocodylus porosus (Australian saltwater crocodile). RNAcentral's name for it is "TUC338 (ENSCPRG00005018602.1)". The record is from RNAcentral. Lineage: Eukaryota; Metazoa; Chordata; Crocodylia; Crocodylidae.